GACGAACGCUGGCGGCGUGCUUAACACAUGCAAGUCGAGCGGUAAGGCCCUUUCGGGGGUACACGAGCGGCGAACGGGUGAGUAACACGUGGGUGACCUGCCCUCAGCUCUGGGAUAAGCCUGGGAAACUGGGUCUAAUACUGGAUAUGACUCCAUGACGCAUGUUGUGGGGUGGAAAGCCUUGUGCGGCUGAGGAUGGGCCCGCGGCCUAUCAGCUUGUUGGUGGGGUGAUGGCCUACCAAGGCGACGACGGGUAGCCGGCCUGAGAGGGCGACCGGCCACACUGGGACUGAGACACGGCCCAGACUCCUACGGGAGGCAGCAGUGGGGAAUCUUGCGCAAUGGGCGAAAGCCUGACGCAGCGACGCCGCGUGAGGGAUGACGGCCUGGUGUAAC
This 396-nucleotide ribosomal RNA is filed under the name uncultured bacterium. RNAcentral describes it as "bacterial SSU rRNA". It matches the Rfam family "Bacterial small subunit ribosomal RNA", at positions 28 to 429 of the family's 1533-position model. The record is from RNAcentral.